RNAcentral lists this long non-coding RNA (699 nucleotides) under Homo sapiens (human). Its description in RNAcentral is "HSALNT0140423". Lineage: Eukaryota; Metazoa; Chordata; Mammalia; Primates; Hominidae. The record is from RNAcentral.
UAGAUGUUAUAAAAAAAUAAAAUCCAAGGCAGAUCAAAGGGGAUGUGGCGGAGGAUUCAGCAACUGCCACCCUUAAGCAAAGAACAGUAAUGAAGAAAUGAGUUUUGGCAGCCUAGCCAAUGGGAUAUGAAAGAAAUUAAUCCCGAAGGGAUGUAAUGACCUGAAAAAAAUGAUGAGCAAAGUCCAGAAGGAUUAGAAGAAAGAAAAAGGCAGCAGACAGAAUGGACUUCAGUGCAACAGGGAAUUAAACUGAAAUCAUUAAAUUCUUUCUGCUUAGCACUUUAGAGAAAAUUUCUAUCAGCCUGCCUAAGGUUGGAAAUGUUUGAGGAGGCAUUUAUCAUGAAAGCCGUGGCCUUUGCUCCUAAAGCUUCGUCUCACAAGUACAAUAACAAAAACUGCUAAUUAAAAGAGGGAAAACAACCAGGAGUCAAACACAAAGGGGCAUCCCUGCCUCAUCAGCACAGAACAAUCGACCGGCUCCCUUCACUGCCCAUGCGAGGCUCCAUGUGAGGAAGCCUGCUCUGCCCUUCCAGGAAGCAGGUGUGGGAAUAGAAGGAGGCACCACUCAUCUUCUGCAGAAAAGCAAAAUGAAGACAUCAUCAGAGAGCAGCACUCAUUGGAAGUAGCUCCUCGGGUUCCCUUCUAAUGUCAGGGGUCUAACAGAGUGCCUAUACCAACUGGUGGGAACGUGUGUGUGUA